Molecule: unclassified non-coding RNA, 281 nt
Filed under: Hevea brasiliensis (rubber tree)
Lineage: Eukaryota; Viridiplantae; Streptophyta; Magnoliopsida; Malpighiales; Euphorbiaceae
Source: RNAcentral
GAGCUUUCUUAUGAACUGGCAAAUCAACUUGGAAGGCCCCUCCAGCAAGUUUGCUCAAAUUUAAUUGUGACACUGCCUGGAAAAAAAACUGCCCUUGGGCCGCAGCCGCAGUUGUAGUCAGAAACCAUAAGGGUCAACUCAUUGAUGGUAUAGCUAAGAAAAUUUUAUGCUUAAUGCCGUUUGCAGAGGAAGCUGCAGCAAUGGUGGUGGAAGCCUUGAAAUUAGCCAAAUCCAUUAGAGUCUUGUCACUGGUGUUGGAAACCGAUUCUUCCAUUUUGUUC